CCAUCCCCGGAAUCAAAUCAAUAACGAACCCGAUCUCCCGGUCUGGUGGCAAUCCCGGUAACCCCGCCGGAAAUACAUCCGGAAACUCGCAUACUACCCGAAUAUUCCCAAGUUCUGGGUGCUCCCUUUGAAUAUCCACCAUUGUCGCCAAGUAGGCCACACAUCCACCUUUAAUCAUCUUUCUUGCCCUCGUCGCCGAUACGGUCUCCGCGAAGCGCGAGCUCUUACACGCACGAUACACCAACUCUUCUUAAUUAAGCUCACG
RNAcentral lists this long non-coding RNA (265 nucleotides) under Ananas comosus (pineapple). Its description in RNAcentral is "long non-coding RNA (ACOM_LNC026047)". The record is from RNAcentral. Lineage: Eukaryota; Viridiplantae; Streptophyta; Magnoliopsida; Poales; Bromeliaceae.